CCUACGGGGGGCAGCAGUGGGGAAUAUUGGACAAUGGGCGAAAGCCUGAUCCAGCCAUGCCGCGUGUGUGAAGAAGGCCUUCGGGUUGUAAAGCACUUUCAGUGGGGAAGAAAGCCUUGGGGCUAAUACCCUCGAGGAAGGACAUCACCCACAGAGGAAGCACCGGCUAACUCCGUGCCAGCAGCCGCGGUAAUACGGAGGGUGCGAGCGUUAAUCGGAAUUACUGGGCGUAAAGCGCGCGUAGGCGGUCUGAUAAGCCGGUUGUGAAAGCCCCGGGCUCAACCUGGGAACGGCAUCCGGAACUGUCAGGCUAGAGUGCAGGAGAGGAAGGUAGAAUUCCCGGUGUAGCGGUGAAAUGCGUAGAGAUCGGGAGGAAUACCAGUGGCGAAGGCGGCCUUCUGGACUGACACUGACGCUGAGGUGCGAAAGCGUGGGUAGCAAACAGGAUUAGAUACCCCAGUAGUC
Molecule: ribosomal RNA, 465 nt
Filed under: Vreelandella stevensii
Lineage: Bacteria; Pseudomonadati; Pseudomonadota; Gammaproteobacteria; Oceanospirillales; Halomonadaceae
Description: partial 16S ribosomal RNA
Rfam family: Bacterial small subunit ribosomal RNA
Source: RNAcentral